RNAcentral lists this long non-coding RNA (706 nucleotides) under Pan troglodytes (chimpanzee). Its description in RNAcentral is "long non-coding RNA NONPTRT001364". Lineage: Eukaryota; Metazoa; Chordata; Mammalia; Primates; Hominidae. The record is from RNAcentral.
AGUUAACGCAAUUAUUACAGGGUCCUGGAACGAUAUACAUCCUCCUCAACUGACAGGAUUAAGAGAUUAAAGCAGACAGGCAUAGGAAAUCACAAGGAUAUUGAUUGGGGAAGUGAUAAGUGUCCACGAAAUCUUUACAAUUUAUGUUUAGAGAUUGCAGUAAAGACAGGCAUAAGAAAUUACAAAAGUAUUAAUUUGGGGAACAAAUACCCUUAUCCCUUCCCCAGGACUUGGGCUCAUGCCUGCCCACAUCUGAUGUGAGCUCCUAGCUCCUGUUCAACUGGAGCUGGCUCAGCUCCUCACCCAGCUAUGUGAAAGCCAGAGGGCUGCCGAGUCUCAAGGUGAGGCCCCAGCAGAGCCAAGGAACCAUUCCUCUUCCAAAAUUCUUACCAAAUACAUAAGAGAGUCCCAAUAGCCUUGCCAGAGUCAAAGAUAAUUCCCAUCUCUGUGGCAAGCUCUCUAAAUCUCUGUUCUCCAUCCCAUAUUGUUCACACCCAGAGAAAGGAAGUGUUUCUCUUGGAAAUCAAGGCUGGCCAUGCACCCGCAAUCUUAAUCACUAACCUUAAAAGCCAUAAUGUCUUCAAAUUUUUAACUGUACAGGUUCACAAUGAAUGGAGAGGCUAUGGCGUUAUACUUAAAUGUCAAAUAAAUGUGUUAUAUUUCUCUCACUGAGAACUAUUGAGGAUUGAAGUGAUAGAGUUGAUUA